CAAAGCAAUUUGCUGUUAGGCCAUAGAUGGGUGUGGAGCCUUUCUCUCAGCUACCAGCUCAGCAGCAGGGUGGGCAGCACUGCACCAGCCUGCUUGACACCAGUGAUUCCCAGUCAUACAGCUCCAACAACACCCUGCAUGGGGAAAGGCAGAGGAGGUAUGUCCCUGACCCAGGGCAUGCGAUCCCAGCAGGAACCGGUCCUCCAUCGGAAAUGAGUGAAGGGUGCCAGGCUCAGGCCAGCAUGCAGCCUGCUGCUCGUUCAGCCCACCCAGGACCCAGGUGAUGGGUGGAAAUGCUGCUUCCUGCAUCCAAGAGGGAGUAUGUGCGCCUGAGAUUCGCUGUGGCCUCAGGCUCAGGUGUGGGGAACCUCCCAAAGCCUCCUAGAUAACACCUCCAGAGCCUGACUCAGACCCCUUCAAUAGCAGAACAAAAUUUCCCAUUACCCUGCAAAUUUUCAAUUCUUCAGUGCAGAAAAUCAGGACAAACACUCAGCCUCCACCCGCCCCAGGGCAGCUCCCACUGGAGGAGGGAGCCAACAAGCCCCUGUGCUUCCUCUCCCAGCAUCUGGGAUGCUAUCAAGCCAAUCAACCUGUAGCUACCAGGUCAUCUUACUCCCCUUUGGGAAGAGCAGCAACGCUAUUAAAACACUUUUUAAUCUUCUGGAAUUUCCCAGGGGUCUGUCCUGGUGCAGACACAGCUCUGCAUGGAUGGGUGGUGAGACUUCAGCUGUAACCAUCCCAGAACAGCAAACAGAAAAUCUGUCCCCCCAGAUCUCCAUUUGAAAUGUUUCCCUUCCUUUUCUUCCCCCCCUCCCCUCCUUUCUUCCUUUCCUUUGCUUCCCCCCUCCUUUCUUCCUUUCCUUUGCUUCCCCCCUCCUUUCUUCCUUUCCUUUGCUUCCCCCCUCCUUUCUUCCUUUCCUUUGCUUCCCCCCUCCUUUCUUCCUUUCCUUUGCUUCCCCCCUCCUUUCUUCCUUUCCUUUGCUUCCCCCCUCCUUUCUUCCUUUCCUUUGCUUCCCCCCUCCUUUCUUCCUUUCCUUUGCUUCCCCCCUCCUUUCUUCCUUUCCUUUGCUUCCCCCCUCCUUUCUUCCUUUCCUUUGCUUCCCCCCUCCUUUCUUCCUUUCCUUUGCUUCCCCCCUCCUUUCUUCCUUUCCUUUGCUUCCCCCCUCCUUUCUUCCUUUCCUUUGCUUCCCCCCUCCUUUCUUCCUUUCCUUUGCUUCCCCCCUCCUUUAGUUUUCUUUUGCAGUGUGUUGUGGUUUUGUUGGGUUUUAGGUUUUUCAGUGGGAACCACUCAAGUGGCAGCAUUGAUCUAAUGGCAGCAGCCACAGCCUGGAUGUUGGGAGGUGGAGGGAGAGGCCAGCCCAGCACUGCAAUGUGGAACAAAUUAUAACUCAGAAAGCAAAGGAAAUGAGAACACCCUGGACACGGUGGCUUUGACGUCCUUUCCUCAGCUCCAAAUCCUGCCCCUCUGCAGAUCCCAUCCCUACAGCUCAGGCUGCCAGGUCAGAGCCCAAAACCCUCUCUGUUCUGAACCAGAGUCCCUGCUCCCUUCCAUUCAGGAUCAAGGCUUCACUUCAGAGCCUGGCCUUUUCUUGUGGGAUUUUUAUCCACCUAAUCUAGGGGCAGAUCAGAGGCUGAUAAUGUCAAUGUCAGCCCCACUGCCGUCUUUAGCCGGAUCAGAGCCACUAAACUCCUUACCACGUUAUUAUUAGCAGCAGGCACUGUGCAGGAGGACCCUGGACUCCAUGGCCCAGAGACCAGACGAAAAGGAUAUAAAGUUAGUCCUGGUCCUGCAAAGAUGAACUCCCUGUUUGUCCUAAAGGUUACAGCUCCACAACCAGAUUACAGCAAUUUAGGACACAGUUCUGCAAGGACAACAGGAGUCCUUUUAGCAGGUUUUCUUUUCUUGCCUUUUUUUUCCCCCUUCAUUAUUUCACAGGGUCUUUUUGAGCCGCCAACGUGCAGCAGCUCCCUGGUAAUGCACAAGUACAAAUGCCAGCCCUCUGCCCAGGCAGCUCUAUUCACAUACACGCACAAGAACCAUUUCACAAAGAGCAUUUGCUUUCUGAUGCAGCAGAGUCUCCGUAGGCUGCCUAAUUAUAAGAUCUGAGCAAUCAUUUUCUUU
Molecule: long non-coding RNA, 2122 nt
Organism: Pogoniulus pusillus (Red-fronted tinkerbird)
Lineage: Eukaryota; Metazoa; Chordata; Aves; Piciformes; Lybiidae
Exons: 5
Source: RefSeq, a predicted model, not a curated record